UAGACUUCAAAUCAGGUGGGAC
Molecule: ribosomal RNA, 22 nt
Filed under: Melampsora laricis-populina
Lineage: Eukaryota; Fungi; Basidiomycota; Pucciniomycetes; Pucciniales; Melampsoraceae
Description: Melampsora larici-populina partial 28S ribosomal RNA
Source: RNAcentral